AUUGAACGCUGGCGGAAUGCUUUACACAUGCAAGUCGAACGGUAGAGGGGGCAACCCCUUGAGAGUGGCGAACGGGUGAGUAAUAUAUCGGAACGUGCCCAGUCGUGGGGAUAACGUAGCGAAAGUUACGCUAAUACCGCAUACGAUCUAAGGAUGAAAGCGGGGGACUCGCAAGAGCCUCGCGCGAUUGGAGCGGCCGAUAUCAGAUUAGGUAGUUGGUGGGGUAAAGGCUCACCAAGCCAACGAUCUGUAGCUGGUCUGAGAGGACGACCAGCCACACUGGAACUGAGACACGGUCCAGACUCCUACGGGAGGCAGCAGUGGGGAAUUUUGGACAAUGGACGCAAGUCUGAUCCAGCCAUUCCGCGUGCAGGAUGAAGGCCCUCGGGUUGUAAACUGCUUUUGUACGGAACGAAAAGGUUCUUUCUAAUAAAGAGGGCCCAUGACGGUACCGUAAGAAUAAGCACCGGCUAACUAACGUGCCAGCAGCCGCGGUAAAGU
This 501-nucleotide ribosomal RNA is filed under the name uncultured bacterium. RNAcentral's name for it is "bacterial SSU rRNA". It matches the Rfam family "Bacterial small subunit ribosomal RNA", at positions 30 to 526 of the family's 1533-position model. The record is from RNAcentral.